RNAcentral lists this long non-coding RNA (307 nucleotides) under Equus caballus (horse). RNAcentral's name for it is "lncRNA (ENSECAG00000047097.1)". The record is from RNAcentral. Lineage: Eukaryota; Metazoa; Chordata; Mammalia; Perissodactyla; Equidae.
CAGCUCAGGAGUGGCAGAGCUGAGCUUCUAACGCAGAGCUGACCUUCUUGUCACCUUGAGGAAACCACUGGCUCCCCCAUCGACCCCGAGAAGGGGCGGCAGGACACACCUCAUGCCCCCCAGAGCCCACGGUCGGGCUUCCCAUCGCCACCGUUUUUGCGUACCCGGUGGGGACUCGAUGCUAUGCUCCUGUGGAAGGCAUUUCAAAACCACAGAGGACUUGAGAGAAGGCACUUCUUUCAGAGGCAAGCGUGGACCACACCCGGGAUUGGCCAGGCACAUCGUUGCCAUGGCAAUGUGACUCACA